CAGCAGCCGCGGGAAUACGUAGGUGGCAAGCGUUGUCCGGAAUUAUUGGGCGUAAAGGGCUCGCAGGCGGUUUCUUAAGUCUGAUGUGAAAGCCCCCGGCUCAACCGGGGAGGGUCAUUGGAAACUGGGAAACUUGAGUGCAGAAGAGGAGAGUGGAAUUCCACGUGUAGCGGUGAAAUGCGUAGAGAUGUGGAGGAACACCAGUGGCGAAGGCGACUCUCUGGUCUGUAACUGACGCUGAGGAGCGAAAGCGUGGGGGGCGAACAGGAUUAGAGACCCCCGUAGUCCCUGUCUCUUAUAC
RNAcentral lists this ribosomal RNA (301 nucleotides) under uncultured bacterium. RNAcentral's name for it is "partial 16S ribosomal RNA". It matches the Rfam family "Bacterial small subunit ribosomal RNA", at positions 509 to 807 of the family's 1533-position model. The record is from RNAcentral.